UGGUCCAUGACUGAGGCAAUAGCCUGUGAGGUCAGGGUUGGAGGAGGACAUUUUGAGGGUACUGGCAGGUCCUCUGUGGUCUGGGAAGGCCUGCUCACCAGCUCUUGGGACAGUGAAGAGCCCGGGAAGGAAGGCAACAGCUGUGUGUGGGGAGAAUAUCGCUAGAGGCUCAUCGUGUAUUUUCCAUCUGUUCCCGUCUCCAGGACGCCAGCAGUCUGUCUCUGCAUAGAUGCAGCUGAGUGAGUGACUCCAGACCUUUUUGUGGGGCUGAAGACCACGGCCAGGCCCUGCUUCCACUUGCGCCUGCAGCAUGAUGAGAAAUCACCGCCCACCAUGGCUCCUAGCCAGUCAGAUGCGGAACAUGGUCUCACUCAGCAGUGGACAACAGGACAAGAAUAAAUGAUGUUUUUAAAAAUUUUGAUAGAUUAUCACUACGGAGCCCAGAGUGGCCUCAAGCUGGUGAUCCUCCUGCUUCAGCCUCCCACAUGCUGGCAUUACAGGCGUGUCCCACCAUGCCUGGGAUGAACUACAAGCCUCAUUCCCAAACAUCAGCCUGAAGAAAGCCCGUAUCUCAGCCCCCUCCAUCAGGUGGACUUGGAAGCAGAACCAGUUUUGAAUAUGCAGAGAUCCGAGAAGAUCUUCCCAGGCCCUGUCAAGCACAGGGACAGGAGCGUGGCACAGCAUUCACAUGGCUCCAGCCAGCCCUGACUGACAGCUCUGGGAGCCACGCUGUGUUCACAGAGUUCUGAAGUGUGAGGCCAGCUCGUGCAGUUGCUGUUGCUUCUGUUCUCCUUUCUCAUAAGAAACCAUUUCAGUGCUUGCUGCAUUAUGUGCUUGCUGCAGCAAAAUUAAACAACAACAGGAGUGUAGAAAAGAAACCCUCAUAGCCUGCUCCAAGCUCAUGGAGGCACACACCCUUUAGGAAUUGUGCAGGCUGGGCAUGUAGCUCAGUGGGUAACACUUAUCUAGCACAUGUGCAGUCCUCGGCUCCAUCUCCAGCACCACAAGAAAACAUCCUUGGAGCCACACACUGGUGAUUCAGCACUAGGGAGGCAGAGGGGGAGAAUCAAAAGUUUAGUUAUCCUUGGCUACCUAAGGAGCUUAAGGCCAGCCUGGCUAUAGGAGACUACCAGGAAGGGAGGAAAGAAGAAAGGAAAAGGGGAGGAAGGAGAGAGAGGGAGAGAGAGAGAGAAUGAAUUUUAUCUAAAGAUACCAAUAAAGUAUAUUUGGGGCAAAGUUCUCAAUAUGCUCAUGCAUAUUUAACUAUUUUAAAGGCUGUAUAAUAGUCUCUUUAUAUGUAAAUAGCAUCUUCAGCAGCAACAUAGCGUGAGCCUCACUGCAAGCUUUAUUUUCUGGUAGACACACCUACAGAGUACACUGAGCCGGGCAUAGUGCACAUGCCUUUGGGAUAUACCGGCCUGCCUGGUCUACAAAGGGAGUUCCUGGACAACCAGUG
This is a long non-coding RNA of Mus musculus (house mouse), 1456 nucleotides long. RefSeq annotates it as predicted gene 13530. Lineage: Eukaryota; Metazoa; Chordata; Mammalia; Rodentia; Muridae. The transcript is spliced from 3 exons. The record is from RefSeq and is a predicted model, not a curated record.